RNAcentral lists this ribosomal RNA (253 nucleotides) under uncultured bacterium. RNAcentral describes it as "partial 16S ribosomal RNA". It matches the Rfam family "Bacterial small subunit ribosomal RNA", at positions 524 to 776 of the family's 1533-position model. The record is from RNAcentral.
UACGUAGGGUGCGAGCGUUGUCCGGAAUUACUGGGCGUAAAGAGCUCGUAGGUGGUUUGUCGCGUUGUUCGUGAAAACUCACAACUCAAUUGUGGGCGUGCGGGCGAUACGGGCAGACUGGAGUACUGCAGGGGAGACUGGAAUUCCUGGUGUAGCGGUGGAAUGCGCAGAUAUCAGGAGGAACACCGGUGGCGAAGGCGGGCCUCUGGGCAGUAACUGACGCUGAGGAGCGAAAGCGUGGGGAGCGAACAGG